Molecule: unclassified non-coding RNA, 256 nt
Filed under: air metagenome
Description: partial contains small subunit ribosomal RNA, internal transcribed spacer 1, and 5.8S ribosomal RNA
Rfam family: Eukaryotic small subunit ribosomal RNA (bases 1-46)
Source: RNAcentral
AAGUCGUAACAAGGUCUCCGUUGGUGAACCAGCGGAGGGAUCAUUACCGAGUCUCGUACUCCAAACCCUUUGUGAACAUACCUGUUUCGUUGCUUCGGCAGGCCCGGGGGUCACACCCCGGCCCGCCGCCGGCACCCCCUCGCCGGGGCGCAUGGCGGGCCUGCCGGAGGGCACAGACUCUGUAUUCAAAAACGUACCUCUCUGAGUUAUCUUUACAAACAAGUAAAAACUUUCAACAACGGAUCUCUUGGUUCUG